RNAcentral lists this ribosomal RNA (496 nucleotides) under uncultured bacterium. RNAcentral's name for it is "partial 16S ribosomal RNA". It matches the Rfam family "Bacterial small subunit ribosomal RNA", at positions 29 to 507 of the family's 1533-position model. The record is from RNAcentral.
AUGAACGCUGGCGGCGUGCCUAAUACAUGCAAGUCGAGCGAACGGACGAGAAGCUUGCUUCUCUGAUGUUAGCGGCGGACGGGUGAGUAACACGUGGAUAACCUACCUAUAAGACUGGGAUAACUUCGGGAAACCGGAGCUAAUACCGGAUGAUAUUUUGAACCGCAUGGUUCAAAAGUGAAAGACGGUCUUGCUGUCACUUAUAGAUGGAUCCGCGCUGCAUUAGCUAGUUGGUAAGGUAACGGCUUACCAAGGCAACGAUGCAUAGCCGACCUGAGAGGGUGAUCGGCCACACUGUAACUGAGACACGGUCCAGACUCCUACGGGAGGCAGCAGUAGGGAAUCUUCCGCAAUGGGCGAAAGCCUGACGGAGCAACGCCGCGUGAGUGAUGAAGGUCUUCGGAUCGUAAAACUCUGUUAUUAGGGAAGAACAUAUGUGUAAGUAACUGUGCACAUCUUGACGGUACCUAAUCAGAAAGCCACGGCUAACUACGUG